This 253-nucleotide ribosomal RNA is filed under the name uncultured prokaryote. Its description in RNAcentral is "partial 16S ribosomal RNA". It matches the Rfam family "Bacterial small subunit ribosomal RNA", at positions 524 to 776 of the family's 1533-position model. The record is from RNAcentral.
UACGAAGGGGGCUAGCGUUGUUCGGAAUUACUGGGCGUAAAGCGUGCGCAGGUGGUUUCUCAAGUCAGGGGUGAAAGCCCAGAGCUCAACUCUGGAAUUGCCUUUGAAACUGUGAAACUCGAGUGCGGGAGAGGUGAGUGGAAUUCCCAGUGUAGAGGUGAAAUUCGUAGAUAUUGGGAAGAACACCAGUGGCGAAGGCGACUUACUGGACACAUAUUGACGCUGAGGUGCGAAAGCGUGGGGAGCAAACAGG